Molecule: non-coding RNA, 137 nt
Organism: Triticum urartu
Lineage: Eukaryota; Viridiplantae; Streptophyta; Magnoliopsida; Poales; Poaceae
Source: Rfam
AAAGUACUCCCUCCGUCCCAAAAUUCUUGUCUUAGAUUUGUCUAGAUACGGAUGGAUCAAGUCACAUUUUAGUAUUAGAUACAUCCAUAUCUAGACAAAUCUAAGACAAGAAUUUUGGGGGAUAGAGGGAGUAGUUG